CACGUAGGGCGCAAGCGUUGUCCGGAAUUAUUGGGCGUAAAGAGCUCGUAGGCGGCCUGUCGCGUCCGCUGUGAAAUCCCGGGGCUUAACCCCGGGCGUGCAGUGGAUACGGGCUGGCUGGAGGCAGGCAGGGGAGAACGGAAUUCCCGGUGUAGCGGUGAAAUGCGCAGAUAUCAGGAGGAACACCAAUUGCGAAGGCAGCUCGCUGGGACGUUACUGACGCUGAGACGCGAAAGCGUGGGGAGCAAACAGG
This 253-nucleotide ribosomal RNA is filed under the name uncultured bacterium. RNAcentral describes it as "partial 16S ribosomal RNA". It matches the Rfam family "Bacterial small subunit ribosomal RNA", at positions 524 to 776 of the family's 1533-position model. The record is from RNAcentral.